RNAcentral lists this ribosomal RNA (433 nucleotides) under uncultured bacterium. Its description in RNAcentral is "partial 16S ribosomal RNA". It matches the Rfam family "Bacterial small subunit ribosomal RNA", at positions 29 to 507 of the family's 1533-position model. The record is from RNAcentral.
AACGAACGCUGGCGGCAUGCCUAACACAUGCAAGUCGAACGAGACCUUCGGGUCUAGUGGCGCACGGGGGUGUAACGCGGGGGAAGCGGCCCUUAGGUUCGGAAUAACUCCCCGUAAGGGGUGCUAACACCGGAUAAUGUCUUCGGACAAAAGAUAUAUCGUGCUUGGUUGGGCCGGCGUUGGUUUAGCUAGUUGGUAGGGUAAGAGCCUACCAAGGCGUGGAUCCAUAGCUGGUUAGAGAGGAAGGGCAGCGACACUGGGGCUGGGACACGGCCCAGACUCCUACGGGAGGCAGCAGUGGGGGAUAUUGGACAAUCGGCGGAGGCAUGAACCAGCAAGGCCGGGAGAGUGAUGAAGUCCUUAAAGAAGUAAAGCUCUUUUACCCGGGAUGAUAAUGACGGUACCGAAAGAAUAAGCACCGGCUAACUCCGUG